RNAcentral lists this ribosomal RNA (499 nucleotides) under uncultured Glomus. RNAcentral describes it as "SSU rRNA". It matches the Rfam family "Eukaryotic small subunit ribosomal RNA", at positions 591 to 1092 of the family's 1831-position model. The record is from RNAcentral. Lineage: Eukaryota; Fungi; Glomeromycota; Glomeromycetes; Glomerales; Glomeraceae.
CCAAUAGCGUAUAUUAAAGUUGUUGCAGUUAAAAAGCUCGUAGUUGAAUUUCGGAAUCAAUUUGUUGGUCGUGCCUCGGUACGUACUGGUAUUAUUGGUUUCUACCUUCUGAAGAACCUUGAUGUCAUUAAUUUGGUGUCUUGGGGAAUCAGGACUGUUACUUUGAAAAAAUUAGAGUGUUUAAAGCAAGCAUACGCUUGAAUACAUUAGCAUGGAAUAAUGAAAUAGGACGUUUGAUUCCAUUUUGUUGGUUUCUAGGAUCGACGUAAUGAUUAAUAGGGAUAGUUGGGGGCGUUUGUAUUCAAUUGUCAGAGGUGAAAUUCUUGGAUUUAUUGAAGACUAACUACUGCGAAAGCAUUUGCCAAGGAUGUUUUCAUUAAUCAAGAACGAAAGUUAGGGGAUCGAAGACGAUCAGAUACCGUCGUAGUCUUAACCAUAAACUAUGCCGACUAGGGAUCGGAUGAUGUUAAUUUUUUAAUGACUCAUUCGGCGCCUUACG